UGAUUGGUGAUUGGUGACAGCAGGUUCUGAAACACCAGUUUAACUGGCUCCAGUCCUCACUCGCCAUAGACAAACACAACACACGUACCCUUUCACAGAAAGAUCGGGAACGCCACUAAAAGAGACAUUCUUCAACUUCAUAGGUUGGACAUGUGCUAUUAUUCAGCUUCACUUUUGUGGUUAGAACUGAAAGUUUUGCGAAGCCCAGGCUUUUUUGCGGUGUAUCCGUGAGAUGGAAUGAAUUUUCUUCCCUCUUUACUUUCCUCCUCAUGGGACAGGGCACAAGAUUUGGCCAAAGACAGACUCCAGUGGUAGAAUAUUGUUGCUGCCUUAUGUCCCACCCGGGACAAAGAGGACUGAGGUCAAAGAUGAAAAAUCCCUUAGAGACAGAGAAAGUCUACAGUGCACCAUUAAAUUGAGAAAUUCCACUUUAUAGCACACACAGACACACACAAUGCUGCCAGGCUGUGGUCCGGGAGGUGAGACAGAAAUGCAGUUUAAGCCCCACCCUCUUCAACAUAUAUAUCAACGAAUUGGCGAGGGGACUAGAACAGUCUGCAGCACCUGGCAUCACCCACUAGAAUCUGAAGUAAAAUGUCUACUGUUUGCUGAUGAUCUGGUGCUUCUGUCACCAACCAAGGAGGGUGUCACGUCCUGACCAGUAAAGAGGUUAUUUGUUAUUGUAGUUUGGUCAGGAUGUGGCAGGGGGUGUUUGUUUAAUGUGUUUCGGGGUUGUUGGGCAAUGUUCUAUGUUAAUCUAUUUCUAUGUCUGUGUCUAGUUUAUCUAUUUCUAUGCUUAGUUUAUUGGGUUGACAUUCAAUUGGAGGCAGCUGUUUCUUGUUGCCUCUAAUUGAAGGUCCUAUUUAGUAGGGGUGUUUUUUCAUGGGUUUUUGUGGGUAGUUGUUCCAUGUUUAGCGUUUAGCCUGACAGGACUGUCUUCGUCGUCAUUGUUUGUUAUUUUGUUUCGUGUUCACGUUCCUUCAAUAAAAGAAGAUGAGUUCACACAUUCCCGCUGCGCCUUGGUCCCAUCUUUACGAUGAACGUGACAGAGGGCCUACAGGGGCACCUAGAUCUUCUGCACAGAUUCUGUCAGACCUGGGCUCUGACAGUAAAUCUCAGUAAUAAUGGUGUUCCAAAAAAGGUCCAGUUGCCAGGACCACGAAUACAAAUUCCAUCUAGACGCUGUUGCCCUAGAGCACACAAAAAACGAUCUACACCUCGGCCUAAACAUCAGCGCCACAGGUAACUUCCACAAAGCUGUGAACGAUCUGAGAGACAAGGCAAGAAGGGCCUUCUAUGCCAUCAAAAGGAACAUAAAAUUCGACAUACCAAUUAGGAUCUUGCUAAAAAUACUUGAAUCAGUUAUAGAAGCCAUUGUCCUUUAUGAUAGUGAGGUCUGGCGUCCGCUCACCAACCAAGAAUUCACAAAAUGGGACAAACACCAAAUUGAGACUCUGCAUGCAGCAUUCUGCAAAAAUGUUCUCAGUGUACAACAUAAAACACCAAAUAAUGCAUGCAGAGCAGAAUUAGGCCAAUACCCACUAACUAUCAAAAUCCAGAAAAGAUUCUACAACCACC
This is a non-coding RNA of Salmo salar (Atlantic salmon), 1578 nucleotides long. The record is from RefSeq and is a predicted model, not a curated record. Lineage: Eukaryota; Metazoa; Chordata; Actinopteri; Salmoniformes; Salmonidae.